AUAACAUACAGGGCCAUCUUGGUCUUGUAAUUGGAAUGAGUACAAUUUACAUCUCUUCACGAGGAUCAAUUGGAGGGCAAGUCUGGUGCCAGCAGCCGCGGUAAUUCCAGCUCCAAUAGCGUAUAUUAAAGUUGUUGCAGUUAAAACGCUCGUAGUCGGAUUUCGGGUCGGUUGCGCCGGUCUGCCGAUGGGUAUGCACUGGCGGAGUCGGCCUUUCUUCCGGAGACCGCGCCUCCUCUUAGCUGAGCGGGUGCGGGAGACGGAUCGUUUACUUUGAAAAAAUCAGAGUGUUUCAAGCAGGCAGCUCGCUCUUGCAUGGAUUAGCAUGGGAUAAUGAAAUAGGACUCUGGUGCUAUUUUGUUGGUUUCGAACACCGGAGUAAUGGUCAACAGGGACAGUCAGGGGCACUCGUAUUCCGCCGAGAGAGGUGAAAUUCUCAGACCAGCGGAAGACGAACCACUGCGAAAGCAUUUGCCAGGGAUGGUUUCACUGAUCAAGAACGAAAGUUAGGGGAUCUAAGACUAUCAAAUAUCGCCGUAGUCUUAACCAAAAAACAUGUCUACUAUGGAUUG
RNAcentral lists this ribosomal RNA (572 nucleotides) under Pleurochrysis sp. ind-25. RNAcentral's name for it is "SSU rRNA". It matches the Rfam family "Eukaryotic small subunit ribosomal RNA", at positions 477 to 1055 of the family's 1831-position model. The record is from RNAcentral. Lineage: Eukaryota; Haptophyta; Coccolithales; Pleurochrysidaceae.